Molecule: long non-coding RNA, 620 nt
Filed under: Rattus norvegicus (Norway rat)
Lineage: Eukaryota; Metazoa; Chordata; Mammalia; Rodentia; Muridae
Description: long non-coding RNA NONRATT003413
Source: RNAcentral
GUUGACCCAACUCUGAAAAUAUUGAGGGGUUCAGUGGGCAGAGGCCAUGUUCUAGAUCUUUUACCCUAUUUCUGCUUGCCUCCUCCCCAUACUGGAGGCUGGGCUUCCCAUCAGCUUCUCUCCACCCUUACCUCUUCCUUUGUGCAGUUUCUGAAGCGGAAUCCCACUCAUCGAAUUGGGGGUGGCCCAGGAGAUGCUGCUGAUGUGCAGAGGCACCCGUUUUUCCGGCACAUCAAUUGGGAUGACCUCUUGGCCCAUCGUGUAGACCCUCCCUUCAGACCGAGUCUGGUGAGUGUAUGGGGAGUCUUUUUGGCCACAUGGCAUGUGGAGGUCCUGCACUUUGUAUUCCUUUAACCCCCUCAUGGAUCUCCCUGAAGCAAUCAGAAGAGGACGUGAGCCAGUUUGAUGUGCGAUUCACACGGCAGACGCCAGUAGAUAGUCCAGAUGACACAGCCCUCAGUGAGAGUGCCAACCAAGCCUUCCUGGUAAGAGCCUGGGAGUUAUGGGCACCAGAACAAGGAUUGCAGCUAGGGAUUAAAAGUCAGCAUCACCUGGCCUGGCCUCUCCCCACAGGGCUUCACGUAUGUGGCACCUUCUGUACUGGACAGCAUCAAAGAGGG